UAUAAACUUUAUUUGUGACCAUGUUAACAGUAUAACACAGCUGUUUCAUUUUCCAUUCCAAGCCCACUUUCUACUUCCUGUCACUCUCCAUUUCUCUGUCUUUCCGCUUGGUUUGCUCUCAUCCACAACCCUAUUUGCAGGUGGACCAUUGUGAUCUGUCUAAAUAUUACCUCUCCCUCGUCCCCUGCGCUCCACAGCCCCUGGAGCUCCCAUCCGUCAGGAGGCAGGAACGGCUCUCCCAUGCAGAAGGCCUCGGUCUGUGGCUGAAAUAUUGAUCACACCGGCUCAUGGAAGAGCUGCCACCCAAAGCCCGUUGUGACAAAGACAGAGAUGGAUUGAAAUAUUUCACGCCUGUACCUCCUACAUGAUUCUCAGAGUUUGUAAUCAGCAUAUGUUGCGCACACCUUCAAAGACGUGAUAGUUAGCGCACAACUUCUGAACAGUAAAAAAGAAAAAAAGGUGAACGUGGGCCAAACAUGGUAGCCGACCGAGAUGGAAUAAAGAUGAGACGCUGAAAUGAAGAUGAUGGUAUCAUAUGUACAUGGAGACAUGCUGCAUCAGGUUUAAUGCUUGCUCGAGUUUCAAAUGCGGCCUGAUUCAUAUAUUCUCUUUUUCUUCUUCAAAAACACAUAAAGUGCUGAUAAAUGGUUUGAAGAGAGAGGCACUAAAAGGAUGAAAUUCCAUAAGAGACUGAACGGAGCGAGUGUGGUAUCAGGCGUCGACGGGGAAUCCAAACAAGUGGCCAUCUCACUCUCCACCAUCUGCGCUCUGAAGACAGCUUUGCAGCGGCCACAAGCAUUCUUCAAACGCUCUUUGGAGGCCGGUUUGGAAAGUUUGUGAUGGUGAUAUCUCUCUGUUUAAAACUCUAAAGACUAAACUUUGAAGCUGAAACUUUUUUGGAAAGGUUUUUAGAAGUUUGAUAUCUUGUUUUUUUUUUUUUUUUUUGUGAACUAAAAGCAAAGUAUUCUAUUCAUGCUCGCUUCUUACUUUAGCGUUGACUUUCUCCAGUACUCAAGAGGGCGCAAGAGUUGCCUUAAAACUAGGCCUGCUAUUCACGGUCAUGUACUUGCAUAGAACAUGUUUCACCAUUUUAUGUGAACGUGAAUAUUCCAUAGAAGUAUUUGAACACUUAAGUCACACUUAAAAAAUCUCUGAGUAUCUCAUUGUGUUAUUUUAGAAUUGUUAUAUGCAGUUGAAGUUUUAAAUAAUAAUUUGGAUUAGCUUUUGUUCAUACGUGUUUUUGUGUGUGUGUGUGUGUGUGUGUGUGUGUGUGUGUGUGUGUGUGUGUGCGUAAUAUUAGUUUUAGUUUUCAUAUUUCUAUUUAGCUUUAAUUUAUUUUUAUUUUUGUACUUAGGCUUACUUCAAUUAGUUUGCCGAGGCAACAGUUCUAAUUUUCAUUUAAAGGGGGGGUGAAAUGCUAUUUCAUGCAUACUGAGUUUUUUACACUGUUAAAGAGUUGGAUUCCCAUGCUAAACAUGGACAAAGUUUCAAAAAUUAAGUUGUACGUUUGAAAGAGUAUUUUUGUUCCAAAAAAUACUCCUUCCGGUUUGUCACAAGUUUCGGAAAGUUUUUUUCGAGU
This 1579-nucleotide long non-coding RNA is filed under the name Carassius auratus (goldfish). RNAcentral describes it as "lncRNA (ENSCARG00000050536.1)". Lineage: Eukaryota; Metazoa; Chordata; Actinopteri; Cypriniformes; Cyprinidae. The record is from RNAcentral.